This 74-nucleotide transfer RNA is filed under the name Clostridium perfringens. RNAcentral's name for it is "tRNA-Asn". It matches the Rfam family "tRNA". Rfam says of the family: Transfer RNA (tRNA) molecules are approximately 80 nucleotides in length. Their secondary structure includes four short double-helical elements and three loops (D, anti-codon, and T loops). Lineage: Bacteria; Bacillati; Bacillota; Clostridia; Eubacteriales; Clostridiaceae. The record is from RNAcentral.
GGGAAUAUAGUUCAACGGAAGAACAAAUGGCUGUUAACCAUUCGAUGGGAGUUCGAUUCUCUCUAUUCCCGCCA